This 1090-nucleotide ribosomal RNA is filed under the name Neogloboquadrina sp. RM-2014. RNAcentral's name for it is "SSU rRNA". It matches the Rfam family "Eukaryotic small subunit ribosomal RNA", at positions 1161 to 1788 of the family's 1831-position model. The record is from RNAcentral. Lineage: Eukaryota; Foraminifera; Rotaliida; Globorotaliidae.
AGGGCACACAGACGCGUGAGCAUGUGCUAUUGACUCACGCGGGAAAUCUACCGGGUCCGGACACACUGAGGAUUGACAGGCAAUAUCUCGUUUAAACGAUUCGUUUAAACGAUUUGUUUAAACGGUCUUAUUAAACGAGUGUUAAAUAUGCUAGUCCUUUCAUGAUUAUGUGAUAGGUGGUGCAUGGCCGUUCUUAGUUCGUGGAGUGAUCUGUCUGCUUAAUUGCGUUUCACUAAGGGCCCAUAAAUACAAGGUAUAUUAGCUCUCGUCGCUCUAUGGACCCCUUAGAUUUAAUUAUUUAACGCGUGUGUCCUAAUAACAGAGUUUGUUUUAUUACAAUUAAAGACAAUGCGUAUGCUGUUGGGCUCUGAAAGCAACGAACGUGACCGCAACGUCUUGUUGCCUUAAUCAAGUCAGUCGUGUGUUGUAUUUAAUAUACGCUCGCUGACAUAGCUAAGGCAAAUUAAAACUAGACGAACCGCUGUUUCUUUUCUUAAACCAGAGGAAGGUUGCGGCAAUAACAGGUCUGUGGUGCCCUUAGAUGUUCCGGGCUGCACACGUGCUACAAUGAUCAGUACAGUGAGCAUCUCAAUUACAAUACACCGUCUUUAAUAAGCGCUUAAACGCGGUUAAUGGGUCGCUUUUUGUUAAGCGGACCGUUUAAUCGACUAUGUUUAAUGUGCGCGGUAAAGCCUGCUUCGAGAGUAAGCGGGUAAUCCAUUGGAAGUAAUGAUUUCUCUAUAUCUAGUGCACAACUAUGCACGGCACUCAUUCCCGAGACGGCUAGUUCCGUCUUUUAGUGUGAAUGUAUGUGUUAUUCAAACGUGCGUGCAAUUGUCAAUUCAUGGUGGGGACAGACCAUUGUUAACUGUUGGUCUCGGUCUUAACUAGGAAUGCCUUGUACGGGUCUUUGGUUCAACAAACCACCCGGAAUACGUCCCUGCCCUUUGUACACACCGCCCGUCGCUCUUACCGAUGGACUUUAUUGUGAGUCUAAGGGACUGGGUUAAACCGUCUGUUUAUUUAUUUAAAUCGGAUGGCAGUACCUAUGGAAACUUAUGCGAACAAUGUGGUCUAAAGGAAAGAGAAG